Rhodnius prolixus is the source of this 1953-nucleotide ribosomal RNA. It matches the Rfam family "Eukaryotic large subunit ribosomal RNA", at positions 446 to 2022 of the family's 3401-position model. The record is from Rfam. Lineage: Eukaryota; Metazoa; Arthropoda; Insecta; Hemiptera; Reduviidae.
CGCACUUCUCCCUUAGUAGGACGUUGUGACCUGUCAAUAAAUAUUCUAAGUAUUUGGCUAUUAUGUCUGUUCUAAGUUAUACCGUUAAGGUAUUUUCUUUAAAACAGUUUUAGCCGUUUUAUAUACUGGAUAAAAUUGACAGUAACGAAUUAUGGUGUUGAGCCACAUGAAAUUAUAUAUAUGUAAAAAUAUAUAUAAUGGAAAGUGUCCUAAAAUAUGGCUGUUUGCAAGUGGGUUGGUAAAAAAUAGUUUCAAUUCGGAUUUUUAACCGGUUAACUAUUCCGCCUACUGUUGGUAAACUGUUCCUAGGACUGUGCUUAUUAUCACCGGUCGGCAGCGAUUCAGGUUCAGGCUCUUAUCCGACCCGUCUUGAAACACGGACCAAGGAGUUUAGCGUGUACGCAAGUCAUUGGGCCUAUAAACCCAUAGGCAAAAUGAAAGUAAAGAGUUGGAGUUUUGUAAAUUUUUACAUUCUCUACUUUAGGGAAGAUGGAAAAUAUUGUGCAGCAAUGUAUAAGAUUUUCCCGCAUUCCCAGGGCGCUUGAUUCUUGCUUUGCAAGUCAAUGCGCACCUAUAGCGUACACGCUGAUACCCGAAAGAUGGUGAACUAUGCCUGGCCAGGACGAAGUCCAGGGGAACCCUGGUGGAGGUCCGCAGCGAUUCUGACGUGCAAAUCGAUCGUCGGAGCUGGGUAUAGGGGCGAAAGACCAAUCGAACCAUCUAGUAGCUGGUUCCCUCUGAAGUUUCCCUCAGGAUAGCUUGCACUCGGUUGAGACGAGUCUCAUCCGGUAGAGCGAAUGAUUAGAGGCAUUGGGGUCGAAACGACCUCAACCUAUUCUCAAACUCCAAAUAGAUGAGAUCCCCGGCUUUCUUAAAAGUGAAGCCGUGGGAAUAGGAUCAGAGUGCCAAGUGGGCCAAUUUUGGUAAGCAGAACUGGCGCUGUGGGAUGAACCAAACGCAGAGUUAAGGCGCCUAAAUUGACGCUCAUGUGAAACCAUGAAAGGCGUUGGUUGCUUAAGACAGCAGGACGGUGGCCAUGGAAGUUGGAAUCCGCUAAGGAGUGUGUAACAACUCACCUGCCGAAGCAACUAGCCCUGAAAAUGGAUGGCGCUGUAGCGUCGUGCCUAUACUCUGCCGUCAAUGACAAAGAUGAUUAAUAAGCUGUGUGUUAAUUAAUGUUGUAGUCUUGACUGCAGUAUUGUUAAUUACAAAGUUUAUUACUAUAUCAUCAUUAUGUCUUGAUGAGUAAGAGGGCCGCGGCGAUGAGCGCAGAAGGGUCUGGGCGAGAGCCCGCCUGGAGCCGUCGCUGGUGCAGAUCUUGGUGGUAGUAGCAAAUACUCCAGCGAGGCCCUGGAGGACUGAUGUGGAGAAUGGUUUCUUGUGAACAGCUGUUGCACAAGAGUCAGUCGAUCCUAAGCCCUAGGAGAAAUCCGAAGCGAUAUGCGCCCGUUAAAUAAUUUUUUUUUAUUAAAUGUUUGGCGCUAUCUGGGCGAAAGGGAAUCCGGUUCCUAUUCCGGAACCCGGCAGCGGAACCGUUCCAAAUCGGGCUCUCAUUUGAGAACUCGUCGGGGUAACCCGACAAGACCCGGAGACGCCGUAGGGAAAUUCGGAGAGAGUUGUCUCUUCUCUAUAAGCGUUCGAGUUCCCUGGAAACCUCUAGCAGGGAGAUAGGGUUUGGAACGCGAAGAGCACCGCAGUUACGGCGGUGUCCGGAUCUUCCCUACGGACCUUGAAAAUCCGGGAGAGGGCCACGAGGAACCCCGCGCCGGCUCGUACCCAUAUCCGCAGCAGGUCUCCAAGGUCAAUAGCCUCUAGUCGAUAGAAUAAUGUAGGUAAGGGAAGUCGGCAAAUCCGAUCCGUAACUUCGGGAUAAGGAUUGGCUCUGAGGACUGAGUCGUGCCGGGCUUGGUCGGGAAGUGGAGCGGGUCAACGUGCCGGGCCUGGGCGAGGAGA